RNAcentral lists this small RNA (85 nucleotides) under Microcebus murinus (gray mouse lemur). Its description in RNAcentral is "sRNA (ENSMICG00000028050.2)". Lineage: Eukaryota; Metazoa; Chordata; Mammalia; Primates; Cheirogaleidae. The record is from RNAcentral.
UGCCCACAUCCGCAUUUACCUAAACCCCACCCAGGCUGCACAGCAAUGCAAAACCGGUAUUUUCUUUCUAUCAUGAAUCACGCUG